AAGACUAAAAUAGCUUCACCUUUAUUAGUUGUAUCUUAGUUUUAUUUUAUUUAGUUACAGUCAACAUCAUUAAUUCAACGAAUUGAAGAGUCGGCGAAGGCCUUACGGAAUGAGUAAUCAACAUAUUUAUAAGCAAAUAUUUGUUUAUCGGGAGAGCUGCUGAUACGUAUGAUUGAAGUAAAAACAAAAAUGAACUAGUUACAUUAUAUCCGUGAUUUCAUUUGUGUACACAGAGACAAAAUUGAAAAAAAUGUGUUUAACUAUGUUCCUCUGCUAAAACUGAAAGAAUAAGUCUACGUAACUAAAGUUUAUUAAUUAUGGGAAAAUACUAAAAAAAAUGGAAACGCUUAGUACAAUGAUCAAAUUGAAAAAAAAUGGGCCGGUCAUUUCAAAAGAAAUGCAGGCGGACUGAAUUGCGUUUAGUUUGCGGUUUCCUGCACUGUAUUAACCUGUAACGUUUCCGAAUUUCAUUUCAUUUGCAAUCUGGAAUCCGAACGUUUGAGUACUUUAGACACAUCGUGAUGAUAAGUGUAUCUCAACAUCGAUAUAAGAAAGUACCUAUGCAUCUGAAAAAUGGGUUCCUUUAAAAACCAUGAAUGGUUUCUUUAAGAAAUACAAGCACUUUCCCACUUCCUGUACCAUACAGGACUUCAACGAAGCUACCGACAAAAUGAUAAAAAUGGCACAUACUCGUACUGGUGUCACAUCAUAUAAAAAGCCAUUGUAGCGACUCGAAAAGAAGAAGCAUAGCUACUUCCUGGUAGCAUUAUAUUUACUUGGCUUUAAUAAUAUGUUUGGGUUGGGCUGUUAGUCAAGUCGCCCUGGAGUAAAUAGCCUGAUGGAUGUGGCGAUUACAGCGAUGACUUUGCAUCGAAUUUGGAUUAAUAAAUGAAUUUGUAUACGAUGUAUAAAAAUGCCAAGAUCAGAGUAAAACUAAGCUAACGAAUACUAGAAUAGCAUCAAUCACAAGGCAGCAACAAAACACCCAUAAACUCUAAACAGUCUGCGAGAUUACGUCGGUCCCUGUUAUUAUAGCAACGACAUGCAAUUUACCCCGACUCUCUUGCUAAGGAAACUUCGCAUUUAUUCUGGAUGUACUAAAAGAAUCAACGUUACAGAGAAAUUGUUUAUUUUGCAUUUUUAG
Plodia interpunctella (Indianmeal moth) is the source of this 1144-nucleotide long non-coding RNA. RefSeq lists it as uncharacterized. The transcript has 4 exons. The record is from RefSeq and is a predicted model, not a curated record. NCBI's taxonomy places the organism in Eukaryota, Metazoa, Arthropoda, Insecta, Lepidoptera, Pyralidae.